GGAAUAUUGCGCAACGGGGGAAACCCUGACGCAGCAACGCCGCGUGAGUGAGGAAGGUCUUCGGAUCGUAAAGCUCUGUUCUUAGGGAAAAAUGGUUAGAGAGCUAAUACCCUCUAAUUUGAUGGUACCUAAGGAGAAAGGACCGGCUAACUUCGUGCCAGCAGCCGCGGUAAUACGAAGGGUCCAAGCGUUGUUCGGAUUUAUUGGGCGUAAAGCGCGCGCAGGUGGAUUAGCAAGUCAGGUGUGAAAUCUCGGAGCUUAACUCCGAAACUGCGCCUGAAACUGCUAGUCUAGAAUGUCGGAGGGGGCAGGGGAAUUUCACGUGUAGGGGUAAAAUCCGUAGAGAUGUGAAGGAACACCGGAGGCGAAGGCGCCUGCCUAGACGAUUAUUGACACUGAGGCGCGAAAGCGUGGGGAGCAAAC
Molecule: ribosomal RNA, 423 nt
Filed under: uncultured bacterium
Lineage: Bacteria
Description: bacterial SSU rRNA
Rfam family: Bacterial small subunit ribosomal RNA
Source: RNAcentral